This 439-nucleotide ribosomal RNA is filed under the name uncultured bacterium. Its description in RNAcentral is "partial 16S ribosomal RNA". It matches the Rfam family "Bacterial small subunit ribosomal RNA", at positions 339 to 795 of the family's 1533-position model. The record is from RNAcentral.
CUACGGGUGGCAGCAGUGAGGAAUAUUGCACAAUGGAGGAAACUCUGAUGCAGCAACGCCGCGUGGAGGAUGACGCAUUUCGGUGUGUAAACUCCUUUUAUAUGUCAAGAAAAUGACGGUAGCAUAUGAAUAAGCACCGGCUAACUCCGUGCCAGCAGCCGCGGUAAUACGGAGGGUGCAAGCGUUACCCGGAAUCACUGGGCGUAAAGGACGCGUAGGCGGGAUAUCAAGUCAGGUGUGAAAUCCUACAGCUUAACUGUAGAACUGCGCUUGAAACUGGUAACCUAGAGUAUGGGAGGGGGAGAUGGAAUUAGUGGUGUAGGGGUAAAAUCCGUAGAUAUCACUAGGAAUACCUAAAGCGAAGGCGAUCUCCUGGAACAUAACUGACGCUAAGGCGUGAAAGCGUGGGGAGCAAACAGGAUUAGAUACCCGAGUAGUC